Molecule: ribosomal RNA, 239 nt
Filed under: uncultured bacterium
Lineage: Bacteria
Description: partial 16S ribosomal RNA
Rfam family: Bacterial small subunit ribosomal RNA
Source: RNAcentral
UACGGAGGGUGCGAGCGUUGUCCGGAAUCACUGGGCGUAAAGGGCGCGUAGGUGGCGGAGCAAGUCAACGGUGAAAGCUCGACGCUCAACGUCGAGUCGGCCGUCGAGACUGCUUUGCUCGAGCACUGUAGAGGCAGAUGGAAUUCCGGGUGUAGCGGUGGAAAUGCGUAGAGAUCCGGAAGAACACCGGUGGCGAAGGCGGUCUGACUGGGGUUGCGCCGGACGCUGAGACGACGAAA